RNAcentral lists this ribosomal RNA (253 nucleotides) under uncultured bacterium. RNAcentral's name for it is "partial 16S ribosomal RNA". It matches the Rfam family "Bacterial small subunit ribosomal RNA", at positions 524 to 776 of the family's 1533-position model. The record is from RNAcentral.
UACGGGGGGGGCAAGCGUUGUUCGGAAUUACUGGGCGUAAAGGGCUCGUAGGCGGCCAACUAAGUCAUACGUGAAAUCCCUCGGCUUAACCGGGGAACUGCGUCUGAUACUGGAUGGCUUGAGUUCGGGAGAGGGAUGCGGAAUUCCAGGUGUAGCGGUGAAAUGCGUAGAUAUCUGGAGGAAUACCGGUGGCGAAGGCGGCAUCCUGGACCGACAUUGACGCUGAGGAGCGAAAGCCAGGGGAGCAAACGGG